RNAcentral lists this ribosomal RNA (462 nucleotides) under uncultured bacterium. RNAcentral describes it as "partial 16S ribosomal RNA". It matches the Rfam family "Bacterial small subunit ribosomal RNA", at positions 28 to 507 of the family's 1533-position model. The record is from RNAcentral.
GACGAACGCUGGCGGCGUGCUUAACACAUGCAAGUCGAACGGAAAGGCCCUUCGGGGUACUCGAGUGGCGAACGGGUGAGUAACACGUGGGUGAUCUGCCCUGCACUUUGGGAUAAGCCUGGGAAACUGGGUCUAAUACCGAAUAGGACCACGCGCUUCAUGGUGUGUGGUGGAAAGCUUUUGCGGUGUGGGAUGGGCCCGCGGCCUAUCAGCUUGUUGGUGGGGUAAUGGCCUACCAAGGCGACGACGGGUAGCCGGCCUGAGAGGGUGACCGGCCACACUGGGACUGGGAUACGGCCCAGACUCCUACGGGGGGCAGCAGUGGGGAAUAUUGCACAAUGGGCGCAAGCCUGAUGCAGCGACGCCGCGUGAGGGAUGACGGCCUUCGGGUUGUAAACCUCUUUCAAUAGGGACGAAGCGCAAGUGACGGUACCUAUAGAAGAAGCACCGGCCAACUACGUG